This 219-nucleotide long non-coding RNA is filed under the name Mytilus galloprovincialis (Mediterranean mussel). The record is from RNAcentral. Lineage: Eukaryota; Metazoa; Mollusca; Bivalvia; Mytilida; Mytilidae.
AGUUACAAGACCUAUAAAACAACCAUUUUCCAGAUUCAAUUCACAAACACUAAAGAGUAUGCACUUUUGAUGUGCCUUAUAUUCCUACAUCCUUAAGUAAGCUCCCUUAAAAUCCCUACCCUUUACUUUCUUAUUUGGUAUCUUGAAUUAUGUUUUUCAUUUUAAAACAAAAACAUCAAGUUAGUAAAUAGCUGUAAAAAUGACCAAAAAAAUCAGUAA